Molecule: ribosomal RNA, 881 nt
Filed under: Neomollisia gelatinosa
Lineage: Eukaryota; Fungi; Ascomycota; Leotiomycetes; Helotiales; Mollisiaceae
Description: partial large subunit ribosomal RNA
Rfam family: Eukaryotic large subunit ribosomal RNA
Source: RNAcentral
UUCUAGCAAUCAAUAAGCGGAGGAAAAGAAACCAACAGGGAUUACCUUAGUAACGGCGAGUGAAGCGGUAAAUGCUCAAAUUUGAAAGCUGCCAACAGGCCGCAUUGUAAUUUGUAGAAGAUGCUUUGGGUAUCGGCCCAGUCUAAGUUCCUUGGAACAGGACGUCAUAGAGGGUGAGAAUCCCGUAUGUGAUUGGUGCCGGCCCCCGUGUAAAGCUCUUUCGACGAGUCGAGUUGUUUGGGAAUGCAGCUCAAAAUGGGUGGUAAAUUUCAUCUAAAGCUAAAUAUUGGCCAGAGACCGAUAGCGCACAAGUAGAGUGAUCGAAAGAUGAAAAGCACUUUGGAAAGAGAGUUAAACAGUACGUGAAAUUGUUGAAAGGGAAGCGCUUGCAAUCAGACUUGCAGGCGGUUGAUCAUCCGAGGUUCUCCCCGGUGCACUCGAUCGUCUUCAGGCCAGCAUCGGUUUCAGUGGUGGGAUAAAGGCUGUGAGAACGUAGCUCUUCGGAGUGGUUAGCUCACGGUGCAAUGCCGCCUACUGGGACCGAGGACCGCGCUUCGGCUAGGAUGCUGGCGUAAUGGUUGUAAGCGACCCGUCUUGAAACACGGACCAAGGAGUCUAACAUCUAUGCGAGUGUUUGGGUGUCAAACCCAUACGCGUAAUGAAAGUGAACGGAGGUGAGAACCCUUUAGGGCGCAUCAUCGACCGAUCCUGAUGUCUUCGGAUGGAUUUGAGUAAGAGCAUAGCUGUUGGGACCCGAAAGAUGGUGAACUAUGCGUGAAUAGGGUGAAGCCAGAGGAAACUCUGGUGGAGGCUCGCAGCGGUUCUGACGUGCAAAUCGAUCGUCAAAUUUGCGUAUAGGGGCGAAAGACUAAUCGAACCAU